This 521-nucleotide ribosomal RNA is filed under the name Sticta guilartensis. Its description in RNAcentral is "partial 28S ribosomal RNA". It matches the Rfam family "Eukaryotic large subunit ribosomal RNA", at positions 133 to 664 of the family's 3401-position model. Lineage: Eukaryota; Fungi; Ascomycota; Lecanoromycetes; Peltigerales; Lobariaceae. The record is from RNAcentral.
GGGGUCCGAGUUGUAAUUUGUAGAGGGUGUUUCGGGCGCGAUGCCGGUCUAAGUUCCUUGGAACAGGACGUCGCAGAGGGUGAGAAUCCCGUACGCGACCGGCGAUCAAGCCUGUGUGAAGCCCCUUCGACGAGUCGAGUUGUUUGGGAAUGCAGCUCAAAAUGGGUGGUAAAUUUCAUCUAAAGCUAAAUAUUGGCCAGAGACCGAUAGCGGACAAGUAGAGUGAUCGAAAGAUGAAAAGCACUUUGGAAAGAGAGUCAAACAGUACGUGAAAUUGUUGAAAGGGAAGCGCUUGCAAUCAGACCGGUCCGGAGGCGAUCAGCCGCUGCUCGUUCAGCGGUGCACUCGCCUGCGAUCCGGCCAGCAUCGGUUUGGGCGGUGGGAUAAAAGUCCCGGGAAUGUAGCUUCUCUCGGGGAGUCUUAUAGCCCGGGUCGCAAUGCCGCCCGCCCGGACCGAGGACCGCGCUUCGGCUAGGAUGCUGGCGUAAUGGUUGCAAGCGACCCGUCUUGAAACACGGAAA